CCUACGAGGUGCUGCAGUGGGGAAUAUUGGACAAUGGGCGAAAGCCUGAUCCAGCCAUGCCGCGUGUGUGAAGAAGGCCUUCGGGUUGUAAAGCACUUUCAGUGGGGAAGAAAGCCUUGGGGCUAAUACCCUCGAGGAAGGACAUCACCCACAGAAGAAGCACCGGCUAACUCCGUGCCAGCAGCCGCGGUAAUACGGAGGGUGCGAGCGUUAAUCGGAAUUACUGGGCGUAAAGCGCGCGUAGGCGGUCUGAUAAGCCGGUUGUGAAAGCCCCGGGCUCAACCUGGGAACGGCAUCCGGAACUGUCAGGCUAGAGUGCAGGAGAGGAAGGUAGAAUUCCCGGUGUAGCGGUGAAAUGCGUAGAGAUCGGGAGGAAUACCAGUGGCGAAGGCGGCCUUCUGGACUGACACUGACGCUGAGGUGCGAAAGCGUGGGUAGCAAACAGGAUUAGAAACCCUGUAGUC
RNAcentral lists this ribosomal RNA (464 nucleotides) under Vreelandella stevensii. Its description in RNAcentral is "partial 16S ribosomal RNA". It matches the Rfam family "Bacterial small subunit ribosomal RNA", at positions 338 to 795 of the family's 1533-position model. Lineage: Bacteria; Pseudomonadati; Pseudomonadota; Gammaproteobacteria; Oceanospirillales; Halomonadaceae. The record is from RNAcentral.